This 109-nucleotide small RNA is filed under the name Flavobacterium sp. 102. Its description in RNAcentral is "Flavo-1 RNA". It matches the Rfam family "Flavo-1 RNA". The record is from RNAcentral. Lineage: Bacteria; Pseudomonadati; Bacteroidota; Flavobacteriia; Flavobacteriales; Flavobacteriaceae.
UUUUAGCCCCGAUGGAAGCGGCAUCCUUUUAUUGCUUUAAAUAAAAAGCCCUUCGACUGCGCUCAGGGUGACAAAGCAAUAAAAGAUAUAACGGACAGCGGGAAUCAGC